ACGAUUUCGGUUUACACCGUUUUCUACCUAUGUCUACGCGUACCACACGUUUCCUCGGGGGCUUGCCCCCCGUUAGGACUUUAUAUCAACCUUUUUGCAAUAGCAGUCAGCGUCUGAUAAAUAAUUUAAUUAUUA
This 135-nucleotide unclassified non-coding RNA is filed under the name uncultured Ascomycota. RNAcentral's name for it is "sequence contains ITS1". Lineage: Eukaryota; Fungi; Ascomycota. The record is from RNAcentral.